This 585-nucleotide ribosomal RNA is filed under the name uncultured bacterium. RNAcentral's name for it is "partial 16S ribosomal RNA". It matches the Rfam family "Bacterial small subunit ribosomal RNA", at positions 355 to 1375 of the family's 1533-position model. The record is from RNAcentral.
UGGGGAAUUUUGGACAAUGGGCGAAAGCCUGAUCCAGCAAUGCCGCGUGUGUGAAGAAGGCCUUCGGGUUGUAAAGCACUUUUGUCCGGAAAGAAAUCCUUGGCUCUAAUACAGUCGGGGAGUACGGGUACCGGAAGAAUAAGCACCGGCUAACUACGUGCCAGCAGCCGCGGUAAUACGUAGGGUGCAAGCGUUAAUCGGAAUUACUGGGCGUAAAGCGUGCGCAGGCGGUUUGCUAAGACCGAUGUGAAAUCCCCGGGCUCAACCUGGGAACUGCAUUGGUGACUGGCAGGCUAGAGUAUGGCAGAGGGGGGUAGAAUUCCACGUGUAGCAGUGAAAUGCGUAGAGAUGUGGAGGAAUACCGAUGGCGAAGGCAGCCCCCUGGGCCAAUACUGACGCUCAUGCACGAAAGCGUGGGGAGCAAACAGGAUUAGAUACCCUGGUAGUCCACGCCCUAAACGAUGUCAACUAGUUGUUGGGGAUUCAUUUCCUUAGUAACGUAGCUAACGCGUGAAGUUGACCGCCUGGGGAGUACGGUCGCAAGAUUAAAACUCAAAUGAAUUGACGGGGUCAUAGCUGUUUCCU